RNAcentral lists this ribosomal RNA (712 nucleotides) under uncultured delta proteobacterium. RNAcentral's name for it is "bacterial SSU rRNA". It matches the Rfam family "Bacterial small subunit ribosomal RNA", at positions 327 to 1035 of the family's 1533-position model. The record is from RNAcentral. Lineage: Bacteria; Deltaproteobacteria.
CGGUUCAANUCUCGGGAGGCAGCAGUGUGGAAUAUUGCGCAAUGGGGGAAACCCUGACGCAGCGACGCCGCGUGAGUGAGGAAGGCCUUCGGGUUGUAAAGCUCUGUCAGGUGGGAAGAAAUGUGUGGUGGCUAAUACCUGCCAUGCUUGACGGUACCGCCAGAGGAAGCACCGGCCAACUCCGUGCCAGCAGCCGCGGUAAUACGGGGGGUGCAAGCGUUGUUCGGAAUUAUUGGGCGUAAAGAGCGUGUAGGCGGCUAGGUAAGUCAGAUGUGAAAGCCCUAGGCUCAACCUGGGAAGUGCAUUUGAAACUGCUUGGCUAGAGUGAGGGAGAGGAAAGUGGAAUUCCUGGUGUAGAGGUGAAAUUCGUAGAUAUCAGGAGGAACAUCAGUAGCGAAGGCGACUUUCUGGACUGAAACUGACGCUGAGGAACGAAAGCGUGGGGAGCAAACAGGAUUAGAUACCCUGGUAGUCCACGCCGUAAACGAUGGAUACUUGGCGUCGGCCGUAAAGGUCGGUGCCGGAGCAAAUGCAUUAAGUAUCCCGCCUGGGGAGUACGGUCGCAAGGCUGAAACUCAAAAGAAUUGACGGGGACCCGCACAAGCAGCGGAGCAUGUGGUUUAAUUCGAAGCAGCGCGAAGAACCUUACCAAAUCUUGACAUAUCAGAGCGUAUCUUAGUAAAAUAAGAGUUCCUUAGGGACGUCUUGAAAC